UGUAUGGGGAUCUGCCCGAUAGAGGGGGAUAACUACUGGAAACGGUGGCUAAUACCGCAUAAUGUCUACGGACCAAAGCAGGGGCUCUUCGGACCUUGCACUAUCGGAUGAACCCAUAUGGGAUUAGCUAGUAGGUGAGGUAAAGGCUCACCUAAGCGACGAUCUCUAGCUGGUCUGAGAGGAUGAUCAGCCACACUGGGACUGAGACACGGCCCAG
Molecule: ribosomal RNA, 217 nt
Filed under: uncultured bacterium
Lineage: Bacteria
Description: partial 16S ribosomal RNA
Rfam family: Bacterial small subunit ribosomal RNA
Source: RNAcentral